RNAcentral lists this ribosomal RNA (243 nucleotides) under uncultured bacterium. Its description in RNAcentral is "partial 16S ribosomal RNA". It matches the Rfam family "Bacterial small subunit ribosomal RNA", at positions 534 to 776 of the family's 1533-position model. The record is from RNAcentral.
GCUAGCGUUGUUCGGAAUUACUGGGCGUAAAGCGCACGUAGGCGGCUUUGUAAGUUAGAGGUGAAAGCCCGGAGCUCAACUCCGGAAUUGCCUUUAAGACUGCAUCGCUUGAAUCCGGGAGAGGUGAGUGGAAUUCCGAGUGUAGAGGUGAAAUUCGUAGAUAUUCGGAAGAACACCAGUGGCGAAGGCGGCUCACUGGACCGGUAUUGACGCUGAGGUGCGAAAGCGUGGGGAGCAAACAGG